GCGUGUGAGGCAGAACGUGCUCCUGGGUUGAGGCUGUUUUUUGGGAGAGAAGAGCACGUUGCUGAGGAGCCUGCUUUUUCCGAAGGAGCCUUCCCCGGCACCGAGCAGGGGAUCUCCCUGGUGCUUCCCACCCACCGGAGUGCGUGGCUGCUGCAAGGAGAGCUUCACCUAGACCUGAUGCCCCUGCUCUGCUUCAAGGUUUCCCAUCUCCCGUGGGGAGGCAGGGGCUGUGAAUGGAGCAGGGGAGCGGUGCCCACGGUGGUGGCAGAGGGGCCGGGGGGGCCACACGCCCCCCAGCAUUGCAUAACGCCGGGAACGCGCCGUUCUCCGCCGGGAAUGACGGCAGCGCCCGCCUCGCCGGCCUUCGCCUGCCCGGCUGCAGCCACCGGCACCGCCUCAGCCCAGCGCCCGGCCCUGGAAAGCUGCCCUCCUUGCUUCCAACCAGCGGAAAACUGGGAUGCAGGCUUCAUUGUCCCUUUGCCAUUGAGGUUUUUCACCAAGUCCUGAAGAUGAUCAUGUUCUGGCUGGUCCAUCUGAGCCUGAAUCAGCCCCAGCUGAAGCUCUCUGCUUUGCCUCCAAGAUGCAGCCACAGCCUGGUGAUGAGCACAUCGCAGCUCCGGGCUCUUCUGUCCCGUCGGACCCGGCAUGUCCCGGCGCAGAGAACGGCAGAGAAAUCCUUGACAACGCCGCGCAGCACAGACACAUCUGUUCCGGGCUCAUCUAUAAAUUAGUGUCCAGAGGCUGCUGUGAAGAUGCUACGUGCUCCUUCCAGGCCUGCAGCCUCCCCGUGUGUCCUGUGCAGCUCCGUGGCCACCUUCCAGCAGCUCCACCAUCACCAGUGGGUACUACUCUCACUCCCUCUUAGGAAGCAGGGGGAUAAUCAUUCCCCAUUUAAUGGAUGGGAAACUUGGCAGACACAGAGUAAGUGAUUUGCUGACAGGCACACAAGAAAAUUGCACUAGUCGAGCAUUCUCUCAAUUAUGCCAUCCUUGUAACUGCAUAAUAUCCCUGUGUGAUUCCAGACACGGAGCACAAUCCUUUGACAGGGCUUCGUCUGCAAAGCAUCAGCUGGCACCCACGGCAGGAUGGGUGACACUGCUCCAAGACCUCAUGGAACAGCAGCUCUGGUCCCAUGGACACCUCUGAGGGUGGCAAAGGAUCGUGAUGGGCAGGAGUCUGGGAUGUGCAGGCCAUGAAGGUGUUUCCUCCUGCCCUCCUGGACCUUUAAGACAUGGAAGGAGGAGCUGAGCUGUGGACACGGCUCGUGCAUCCCCCGAAAGGUCCUUCUCGUGCUGCCUGUUGUGUCUGAGGCCCGAGGCCUGGACACACUCAUCUCCAGUCAUCUCUGGCUCCACCCCAGAGUCUGCAACAUGAGCAUAUUAACAUGUUUUUAGAGCCCACUCCUUCAGCAUUUGCCUUUGACAGUUAUCUCAAGGGAUAGAUAAUCUCAUUUACAUCUGUGGCUACAAAUCAAAACAACAGCGAAUUAAACGGAUCUGAAGGCUAAGAUUAAAGACUUGGAAUUAAACCACCUGUGAAGGGCCUGUAAUGCAAAUAGUUGGAAGUAUCACUUUUUUUCUGAGGGAUGGAAAAGCCCUGCACAGAUGCUGUUCACUUUACCUUGAAAGCAAAGGUGGAACUGUCACAUCACUGCAAUGAUUAUACCCGCGGGCAUUACGUGACACCAGCUUCUUGGCUGUGCUUGGAAAAAGAAAGAGAAGGAAAGGAGCUGGAUCGAAGUACUCACUGUUCUAGCCAAGCACAGCCAGCAGAUAGCAGCAUUGCAAUGUAGAAUGUACCCUCGGCUGUUUCUGCUGCUUUCGAAGUCAUGGAGAAACCGGGGGGCAGGACAUUCUCUGAGCUGUGAAAAAUGCACCUGAUGGUAGAUUAAAUCUACUUUCAAUACAGUCGGUAGUGCUGAUGAGAUAAACGGCGGCCAAAACAGCACCUCAGCCAGCCCCAGCUCCCUCUGCAGCUCCUGCAAACCCAGCCCCGGGAAAGCUGCUCCUGCCCCUGCCCGGGAAACAAGGACAAGGAAGGGAAGAGAAGGAGCCAGGCCAGGAAAGACACCCAAAACCUGCCCUCGGUGCAGCUCAAGCAUCUGCACAGGAACAGGCACUAAAGGGCAUUAUCCUGCAAAUCCUUUGA
Long non-coding RNA from Apus apus (common swift), 2148 nucleotides. RefSeq lists it as uncharacterized. The transcript has 6 exons. Lineage: Eukaryota; Metazoa; Chordata; Aves; Apodiformes; Apodidae. The record is from RefSeq and is a predicted model, not a curated record.